UUGAUUUAUUUUUCUCUUUUAGCUUUUUGAUAUUGUGAAAACAGGAUGUGAAUCACAUAUCCUUUUUAGACUUGAACAUCUUGAUAUCAGUGAUAUAGGAUCUUAUACAUAAAAAAAAAAACUACUUCUGUUUAUCUGAUUUAAUUUGUAUUGUCAAGGUACUCUGGUAUGCUUGAAAAGGAGGUAAAGAUUGCUUGUCUUGUCUGUCGCAACUGUUGUGAUUGCAAAGCAUGUUCUAGAAGUCCAGCUAAAGAUGGUUAUAAGGAUCUUGAAAUUGUUCAGGCGCGUAUAUACGAUGAGUUUGUAGAGAAAGCAAAAGCCUGUGCCUUAAAACGCAUUGUUGGAGACCCCUUUUAAAAGGGUGUUGAACAAGGUCCUCAGAUUGAUGAGGAGCAGUUUAGCAAGAUCUUGCAUUAUAUCAAAUCGGGAAUUAACAGUGGUGCUACGCUAGUAACAGGUGGAGAUCGAAUUGGAAACAAAGGUUAUUACAUUCAGUCGACCAUCUUCUCUGAUGUACAAGAUGAAAUAAAAAUAGCACAAGAUGAGAUCUUCGGUCCUGUUCAAUCGAUCCUUAAGUUCAGGCAAGUGCAACAUCUUAUGCCAGUCUUCUUGAUGUGUACAAUAUCA
This is a long non-coding RNA of Zingiber officinale, 627 nucleotides long. RefSeq lists it as uncharacterized. The transcript is spliced from 4 exons. NCBI's taxonomy places the organism in Eukaryota, Viridiplantae, Streptophyta, Magnoliopsida, Zingiberales, Zingiberaceae. The record is from RefSeq and is a predicted model, not a curated record.